RNAcentral lists this long non-coding RNA (501 nucleotides) under Rattus norvegicus (Norway rat). RNAcentral describes it as "long non-coding RNA NONRATT000141". The record is from RNAcentral. Lineage: Eukaryota; Metazoa; Chordata; Mammalia; Rodentia; Muridae.
UGUUCAACAGUAGACUGAGACCAAUGGUGACGUGCAGUCAGCCAAUGGAGGUGUUUAACUUGAGACUUGACUUUCAGUACCAAGACAGUCUCUCCAGAGGAAGACAUGAAAAUGGAUUUUUUUCUCCUAAACCCAUGAUGAGUGUGGAAAAUCAGAGUAAAGACACGGCUUGGCUUGCAACACUGUGGUAUUUGGAUGGAAAGUCCCCAAAGCUGCAUAGCCUCAACAUCUGAGCUCUGACUGGUCAUCCCAGCCCGGUGACUCUGAUCUUGUGCAAUCCAUCACCCACAUUCCAAAGCUUUGAGAGGAUUAACCACUAACCACAAGCAGUGAAAUAAAUCACUUGCCAUAGGGUAGAAUGGUUUUGGAAAACGGGCAUACAUCAAAUUAUUUGGUUAACCCUUUCUCCUGACAAAUUUCUCCUUUGAGCAUCAGCUGCAGUCUUUGCUUUACUGUUAUCCCAGUCUCUCUUCCUCAUGAUGAAUAAAGAUAGGGCACUUG